GARACACGGCCCAGACUCCUACGGGAGGCAGCAGUAGGAAUCUUCCGCAAUGGACGAAAGUCUGACGGAGCAACGCCGCGUGAGUGAUGAAGGUUUUCGGAUCGUAAAACUCUGUUGUUAGGGAAGAACAAGUGCGAGAGUAACUGCUCGCACCUUGACGGUACCUAACCAGAAAGCCACGGCUAACUACGUGCCAGCAGCCGCGGUAAUACGUAGGUGGCAAGCGUUGUCCGGAAUUAUUGGGCGUAAAGCGCGCGCAGGCGGUUUCUUAAGUCUGAUGUGAAAGCCCCCGGCUCAACCGGGGAGGGUCAUUGGAAACUGGGAAACUUGAGUGCAGAAGAGGAGAGUGGAAUUCCACGUGUAGCGGUGAAAUGCGUAGAGAUGUGGAGGAACACCAGUGGCGAAGGCGACUCUCUGGUCUGUAACUGACGCUGAGGCGCGAAAGCGUGGGGAGCGAACAGGAUUAGAUACCCUGGUAGUCCACGCCGUAAACGAUGAGUGCUAAGUGUUAGAGGGUUUCCGCCCUUUAGUGCUGCAGCUAACGCAUUAAGCACUCCGCCUGGGGAGUACGGUCGCAAGACUGAAACUCAAAGGAAUUGACGGGGGCCCGCACAAGCGGUGGAGCAUGUGGUUUAAUUCGAAGCAACGCGAAGAACCUUACCAGGUCUUGACAUCCUUUGCCACUUCUAGAGAUAGAAGGUUCCCCUUCGGGGGACAAAGUGACAGGUGGUGCAUGGUUGUCGUCAGCUCGUGUCGUGAGAUGUUGGGUUAAGUCCCGCAACGAGCGCAACCCUUGAUCUUAGUUGCCAGCAUUCAGUUGGGCACUCUAAGGUGACUGCCGGUGACAAACCGGAGGAAGGUGGGGAUGACGUCAAAUCAUCAUGCCCCUUAUGACCUGGGCUACACACGUGCUACAAUGGAUGGUACAAAGGGCUGCGAGACCGCGAGGUUUAGCCAAUCCCAUAAAACCAUUCUCAGUUCGGAUUGCAGGCUGCAACUCGCCUGCAUGAAGCUGGAAUCGCUAGUAAUCGCGGAUCAGCAUGCCGCGGUGAAUACGUUCCCGGGCCUUGUACACACCGCCCGUCACACCACGAGAGUUUGCAACACCCGAAGUCGGUGGGGUAACCGCAAGGAGCCAGCCG
RNAcentral lists this ribosomal RNA (1142 nucleotides) under Metabacillus idriensis. RNAcentral describes it as "bacterial SSU rRNA". Lineage: Bacteria; Bacillati; Bacillota; Bacilli; Caryophanales; Bacillaceae. The record is from RNAcentral.